RNAcentral lists this ribosomal RNA (1478 nucleotides) under metagenome. RNAcentral describes it as "bacterial LSU rRNA". It matches the Rfam family "Bacterial large subunit ribosomal RNA", at positions 1456 to 2912 of the family's 2925-position model. The record is from RNAcentral.
CUGCGAUGGAGGGACGGAGAAGGCUAGGCCAGCUUGGCGUUGGUUGUCCAAGUUUAAGGUGGUAGGCUGAAAUCUUAGGUAAAUCCGGGGUUUCAAGGCCGAGAGCUGAUGACGAGUCGUCUUUUAGAUGACGAAGUGGUUGAUGCCAUGCUUCCAAGAAAAGCUUCUAAGCUUCAGGUAACCAGGAACCGUACCCCAAACCGACACAGGUGGUCGGGUAGAGAAUACCAUGGCGCUUGAGAGAACUCGGGUGAAGGAACUAGGCAAAAUGGCACCGUAACUUCGGGAGAAGGUGCGCCGGCUAGGGUGAAGGAUUUACUCCGUAAGCUCUGGCUGGUCGAAGAUACCAGGCCGCUGCGACUGUUUAUUGAAAACACAGCACUCUGCAAACACGAAAGUGGACGUAUAGGGUGUGACGCCUGCCCGGUGCCGGAAGGUUAAUUGAUGGGGUUAGCGCAAGCGAAGCUCUUGAUCGAAGCCCCGGUAAACGGCGGCCGUAACUAUAACGGUCCUAAGGUAGCGAAAUUCCUUGUCGGGUAAGUUCCGACCUGCACGAAUGGCGUAACGAUGGCGGCGCUGUCUCCACCCGAGACUCAGUGAAAUUGAAAUCGCUGUGAAGAUGCAGUGUAUCCGCGGCUAGACGGAAAGACCCCGUGAACCUUUACUGUAGCUUUGCACUGGACUUUGAGCCUGCUUGUGUAGGAUAGGUGGGAGGCUUUGAAGCGUGGACGCCAGUUCGCGUGGAGCCAUCCUUGAAAUACCACCCUGGCAUGCUUGAGGUUCUAACUCUGGUCCGUAAUCCGGAUCGAGGACAGUGUAUGGUGGGCAGUUUGACUGGGGCGGUCUCCUCCUAAAGAGUAACGGAGGAGUACGAAGGUGCGCUCAGACCGGUCGGAAAUCGGUCGCAGAGUAUAAAGGCAAAAGCGCGCUUGACUGCGAGACAGACACGUCGAGCAGGUACGAAAGUAGGUCUUAGUGAUCCGGUGGUUCUGUAUGGAAGGGCCAUCGCUCAACGGAUAAAAGGUACUCCGGGGAUAACAGGCUGAUACCGCCCAAGAGUUCAUAUCGACGGCGGUGUUUGGCACCUCGAUGUCGGCUCAUCACAUCCUGGGGCUGAAGCCGGUCCCAAGGGUAUGGCUGUUCGCCAUUUAAAGUGGUACGCGAGCUGGGUUUAGAACGUCGUGAGACAGUUCGGUCCCUAUCUGCCGUGGACGUUUGAGAUUUGAGAGGGGCUGCUCCUAGUACGAGAGGACCGGAGUGGACGAACCUCUGGUGUUCCGGUUGUCACGCCGGUGGCAUUGCCGGGUAGCUAUGUUCGGAAAAGAUAACCGCUGAAAGCAUCUAAGCGGGAAACUUGCCUCAAGAUGAGAUCUCACUGGGAACUUGAUUCCCCUGAAGGGCCGUCGAAGACUACGACGUUGAUAGGCUGGGUGUGUAAGCGUUGUGAGGCGUUGAGCUAACCAGUACUAAUUGCCCGU